AAUUACUUUAACCAGCCGCAACGUAAAGUCCCUGGAGAAAGUGUGUGCUGACUUAAUCAGAGGUGCAAAGGAAAAGAAUCUCAAGGUGAAAGGACCAGUUCGGAUGCCAACCAAGACAUUGAGAAUCACUACAAGAAAAACACCUUGUGGUGAAG
Long non-coding RNA from Tupaia belangeri chinensis (Chinese tree shrew), 155 nucleotides. RefSeq lists it as uncharacterized. The transcript is spliced from 3 exons. Lineage: Eukaryota; Metazoa; Chordata; Mammalia; Scandentia; Tupaiidae. The record is from RefSeq and is a predicted model, not a curated record.